Molecule: long non-coding RNA, 230 nt
Filed under: Homo sapiens (human)
Lineage: Eukaryota; Metazoa; Chordata; Mammalia; Primates; Hominidae
Description: non-protein coding lnc-SCN1A-3:3
Source: RNAcentral
GCAAACUCCCAGCCUGCCUGGCUGCCUGCUGCUGCCAAUACUUCUUGCUCUUGCUGGUGAUGACAUUCAGAGAGCUCCCCAGCACUGGUGCUUCGUUAUGUAAGGCUGUCUAGGUCAAGUGUAGGAGACACACUGCUGGCCUGUGGAAACUCAUGGAACUGUUCCUCCAGAUUAACACUUCAGGGGUUAUGGAAGCUGGAGGAAGCUGAGCUUUUACUACAUCUUUUGGG